UAAUUGAAGAGUUUGAUCAUGGCUCAGAUUGAACGCUGGCGGCAGGCCUAACACAUGCAAGUCGGGCGGUAACAGGGAGAAGCUUGCUUCUCUGCUGACGAGCGGCGGACGGGUGAGUAAUGUAUGGGGAUCUGCCUGAUGGCGGGGGAUAACUACUGGAAACGGUAGCUAAUACCGCAUAAUGUCUUCGGACCAAAGCGGGGGACCUUCGGGCCUCGCGCCAUCAGAUGAACCCAUAUGGGAUUAGCUAGUAGGUGAGGUAACGGCUUACCUAGGCGACGAUCCCUAGCUGGUCUGAGAGGAUGAUCAGCCACACUGGGACUGAGACACGGCCCAGACUCCUACGGGAGGCAGCAGUGGGGAAUAUUGCACAAUGGGCGCAAGCCUGAUGCAGCCAUGCCGCGUGUAUGAAGAAGGCCUUCGGGUUGUAAAGUACUUUCAGUCGGGAGGAAGGUGU
RNAcentral lists this ribosomal RNA (457 nucleotides) under Morganella morganii. RNAcentral describes it as "bacterial SSU rRNA". It matches the Rfam family "Bacterial small subunit ribosomal RNA", at positions 1 to 454 of the family's 1533-position model. The record is from RNAcentral. Lineage: Bacteria; Pseudomonadati; Pseudomonadota; Gammaproteobacteria; Enterobacterales; Morganellaceae.